CCGGCGCACGGGUGAGUAACACGUAUCCAACCUGCCGUCUACUCUUGGCCAGCCUUCUGAAAGGAAGAUUAAUCCAGGAUGGCAUCAUGAGUUCACAUGUCCGCAUGAUUAAAGGUAUUUUCCGGUAGACGAUGGGGAUGCGUUCCAUUAGAUAGUAGGCGGGGUAACGGCCCACCUAGUCAACGAUGGAUAGGGGUUCUGAGGGGAAGGUCCCCUACAUUGGAACUGAGACACGGUCCAA
This 241-nucleotide ribosomal RNA is filed under the name uncultured bacterium. RNAcentral describes it as "partial 16S ribosomal RNA". It matches the Rfam family "Bacterial small subunit ribosomal RNA", at positions 95 to 334 of the family's 1533-position model. The record is from RNAcentral.